GUAGGUGAACCUGCGGAAGGAUCAUUACCGAGUUCAUGCCCUCACGGGUAGAUCUCCCACCCUUUGUAUACCUUACCUUUGUUGCUUUGGCGGGCCGCCUAGCUACUGGCCUCGGCUGGUAAGUGCCCGCCGGAGGUAUCUAACUCUUGAACUUUUAUGGCCCCUCUGAGUCUUUGUACUUAAUAAGUCAAAACUUUCAACAACGGAUCUCUUGGUUCUG
RNAcentral lists this unclassified non-coding RNA (220 nucleotides) under rhizosphere metagenome. RNAcentral's name for it is "partial ribosomal RNA internal transcribed spacer region". The record is from RNAcentral.